RNAcentral lists this unclassified non-coding RNA (277 nucleotides) under Hevea brasiliensis (rubber tree). Lineage: Eukaryota; Viridiplantae; Streptophyta; Magnoliopsida; Malpighiales; Euphorbiaceae. The record is from RNAcentral.
GGUGUCUUUCCUUGUUCAUAAAUGCAAGGAGGCUGAUGAGCAAGUUAGCUCUUCUAGGGAAGAGUAUGGAUCCAAGGUGGAGGAAUUGAUAGAAUUGCAGGAAAGGAUGAAUCAGUUAUCUGACUUGAAACUUCAGCAUGAAACUGAAAUCCUUCUCUUCAAAGAAAAAUCAAGCCAGGUUGAGGAAGCCCUUUUCAGUAUGCAAUCUGAAUUACAGGAGAAAGUGCGUGAAGUUGAACAGUCAGAGCAGAGAGUAUCUUCAAUUAGAGAGAAGCUU